RNAcentral lists this ribosomal RNA (490 nucleotides) under uncultured bacterium. RNAcentral describes it as "partial 16S ribosomal RNA". It matches the Rfam family "Bacterial small subunit ribosomal RNA", at positions 29 to 507 of the family's 1533-position model. The record is from RNAcentral.
AGUGAACGCUGGCGGUAGGCCUAACACAUGCAAGUCGAACGGCAGCACAGAGGAGCUUGCUCCUUGGGUGGCGAGUGGCGGACGGGUGAGGAAUACAUCGGAAUCUACUCUGUCGUGGGGGAUAACGUAGGGAAACUUACGCUAAUACCGCAUACGACCUACGGGUGAAAGCAGGGGAUCUUCGGACCUUGCGCGAUUGAAUGAGCCGAUGUCGGAUUAGCUAGUUGGCGGGGUAAAGGCCCACCAAGGCGACGAUCCGUAGCUGGUCUGAGAGGAUGAUCAGCCACACUGGAACUGAGACACGGUCCAGACUCCUACGGGAGGCAGCAGUGGGGAAUAUUGGACAAUGGGCGCAAGCCUGAUCCAGCCAUACCGCGUGGGUGAAGAAGGCCUUCGGGUUGUAAAGCCCUUUUGUUGGGAAAGAAAUCCAGCCGGCUAAUACCUGGUUGGGAUGACGGUACCCAAAGAAUAAGCACCGGCUAACUUCGUG